This 383-nucleotide ribosomal RNA is filed under the name uncultured bacterium. RNAcentral describes it as "bacterial SSU rRNA". It matches the Rfam family "Bacterial small subunit ribosomal RNA", at positions 29 to 416 of the family's 1533-position model. The record is from RNAcentral.
UGCGAACGUUUGCGGCGGGCCUAACACAUGCAAGUCGAACGCACUAGCAAUAGUGAGUGGCGCACGGGUGCGUAACACGUGGGUAAUCAACCCUUCAGCCUGGGAUAACGACUCGAAAGGGUCGCUAAUACCGGAUACGGCGCGAGAGGCUUCGGCUUCUCACGAGAAAGCCACGCAAGGGGCACUGAAGGACGAGCCUGCGGCCCAUCAGCUAGUUGGUGAGGUAAGAGCUCACCAAGGCUAAGACGGGUAGCUGGUCUGAGAGGAUGAUCAGCCACACUGGAACUGAGACACGGUCCAGACUCCUACGGGAGGCAGCAGUGGGGAAUAUUGCGCAAUGGGCGAAAGCCUGACGCAGUCACGCCGCGUGAGCGAUGAAGGCC